GUUUGAUCAUGGCUCAGAAUGAACGCUGGCGGCAGGCUAACACAUGCAAGUCGAACGGGUCCUUCGGGACUAGUGGCGGACGGGUGAGUAACGCGUGGGAACAUGCCCUUUGGUACGGAAUAGCCUCGGGAAACUGGGAGUAAUACCGUAUGUGCCCUUCGGGGAAAGAUUUAUCGCCAAAGGAUUGGCCCGCGUUGGAUUAGGUAGUUGGUGGGGUAAUGGCCUACCAAGCCGACGAUCCAUAGCUGGUUUGAGAGGAUGAUCAGCCACACUGGGACUGAGACACGGCCCAGACUCCUACGGGAGGCAGCAGUGGGGAAUCUUAGACAAUGGGGGAAACCUGAUCUAGCCAUGCCGCGUGAUCGAUGAAGGCCUUAGGGUUGUAAAGAUCUUUCAGUGGGGAAGAUAAUGACGGUACCCACAGAAGAAGCCCCGGCUAACUCCGUGCCAGCAGCCGCGUAAUACGGAGGGGGCUAGCGUUAUUCGGAAUUACUGGGCGUAAAGCGCACGUAGGCGGAACGGAAAGUUGGGGGUGAAAGCCCAGGGCUCAACCCUGGAACUGCCUUCAAACUCCCGUUCUUGAGGUCGUGAGAAGGUUGAGUGGAAUUC
Molecule: ribosomal RNA, 609 nt
Filed under: uncultured bacterium
Lineage: Bacteria
Description: bacterial SSU rRNA
Rfam family: Bacterial small subunit ribosomal RNA
Source: RNAcentral